Molecule: non-coding RNA, 573 nt
Organism: Paramuricea clavata
Lineage: Eukaryota; Metazoa; Cnidaria; Anthozoa; Malacalcyonacea; Plexauridae
Source: the annotation of a GenBank genome assembly
GGAGGGAAGAUCGUUCAAGUAAAUACAAAAUAAUAAUGGUGAAAGCGUCGCACCUUGGGGUACUCCGUGAGUGAUUGGUAGUGGAUCAGAUAGGGCGGAGUUGAUGCGGGUGGACUGAAAGCGAUCUGACAAGUAGCUUUUAAACCACUGUACUGUUGCUGGGGAAGCGCCGACAUUCGCUAGUUUGUGUAACAAUCUGUGAUGGUGGGGAGAAGGGAUGGGAGGAGGAGGUGUCGGAUGUCAAAUGGUCAUCAUUUUACAAAAAUAACGACUUUUACACAAAGUUUACCUGAGAAUGUCAAAAUUUACAAUAUACUUGAGCUUUACCUGAGUUUCACAGUUGUGGAGUUUACCCCCCCCCCCACACACACACACACACUCCCCUGUCUCUACGUCCCUGCUGAUCUUAGAUCAGAUAUAUAAUACAUAUUUACAUCUGGACUAGAUAUCCAAAAAUAAACUGCACCUACAGUUGCAUCUCCUGGUUUAAUAGAUCUAAUAAAUGUAAAAUAAUGCAUUUUCACUCAAUUACUUCCAUCUAGAAGAUCCUUCAACUGUAUGUAAACAGACUGA